This 287-nucleotide long non-coding RNA is filed under the name Junco hyemalis (dark-eyed junco). RNAcentral's name for it is "lncRNA (ENSJHYG00000000866.1)". The record is from RNAcentral. Lineage: Eukaryota; Metazoa; Chordata; Aves; Passeriformes; Passerellidae.
CUUGGACCAAGCUGAUUCUCACUUGUAACACAAUUUCCAGACCAGACUGAAGACUGAAAUAAAUAAAAGCAAUUUGUGGUGCCUACAACCUCAUACCUGCUGGUCUGCAAGUGGAACCUCACAAUGAGAUGCCUCCCAGUGCAGCAAAACUCACUGACCAUCACUGUGUUGGACACUUCUCUGGAUUCCUCUGGAACAGUGAAGAGGGCUGUGGAAGUGGAGCAGAACAGGACUAGUUCUGGCAUUUUGGCUGCUGCAGGUGAGCCAGCAAAUCACCAGGAAGUGGC